CUCCCAAUGAUUCAAGUUAAGCACUGUCUCAUUUUACAUCGCGGGUCUCAUAAAGAUAAUGAUGAGAUAAUGGGUUUCAUGUCUUGUUAGUUGUUUCCCUCCGUGCUCUGUGCGCAGGCUGCCCCACUCACCCCAGCACUUUGCGAGACUUUGUUUUAAACUUGGUGUAGCGGAAGUAACGCUCAACACGGACUGUGCCUAAAGUGGGUGGACCGCAGGUUUUGACUCUUGCCACCGCCUUGAAGCUGGACUCAGGUGCUACAGGAAUAUGGCUUCUCACCAGUAUGGACUCUUAUAUGAGAUUUCAAGUUCAUCAGAUCACUGAACCUUUUCCCGCAUGUGCUACAACAAUGUGGUUUCUCACCUGUGUGACUUCUCAUAUUGUAUCCAGUAGUCUGAGCCGCUCUUCCCCAGUCCAGACGAUGAUUCCUUCAGCCUCCUGCUUCACUACAAGCG
Molecule: long non-coding RNA, 456 nt
Organism: Maylandia zebra (zebra mbuna)
Lineage: Eukaryota; Metazoa; Chordata; Actinopteri; Cichliformes; Cichlidae
Source: RefSeq, a predicted model, not a curated record